Non-coding RNA from Caenorhabditis elegans, 161 nucleotides. Lineage: Eukaryota; Metazoa; Nematoda; Chromadorea; Rhabditida; Rhabditidae. The record is from Ensembl.
AGGAGCUCCGCUCAAUGCACACAUGUUGCACUAUUUUGCGAGUAGGUCAACGGUGGGAAGGUUCCACAAUACACCUUGUUCUGUGACAUACUUUUCCACCGAAAAUCAGUCUUCUCGUGUGGAUUUUCAAGAUGUUCCUUUGUUUGUGUGAAACGGAACUU